This 459-nucleotide ribosomal RNA is filed under the name uncultured bacterium. RNAcentral describes it as "partial 16S ribosomal RNA". It matches the Rfam family "Bacterial small subunit ribosomal RNA", at positions 338 to 795 of the family's 1533-position model. The record is from RNAcentral.
CCUACGGGAGGCAGCAGUGAGGAAUAUUGGUCAAUGGCCGGACGGCUGAACCAGCCAAGCCGCGUGAAGGACGAAGGUGCCAAGCAUUGUCAACUUCUUUUGUCAAGGGACAAACUCAGGCUCGAGAGCCUGACCGAGGGUACUUGAAGAAAAAGCAUCGGCUAACUCCGUGCAAGCAGCCGCGGUAAUACGGAGGAUGCGAGCGGUAUCCGGAUUUAUUGGGUUUAAAGGGUGCGUAGGCGGACUGUUAAGUCAGCGGUAAAAGCCCGGGGCUCAACCCCGGCGAGCCGUUGAAACUGGCUGUAUUGAGAUGUAGAGAGGUAUGCGGAAUGCGCAGUGUAGCGGUGAAAUGCUUAGAUAGUGCGCAGAACUCCGAUUGCGAAGGCAGCAUACCGGCGGCGAUCUGACGCUGAGGCACGAAAGCGUGGGUAUCGAACAGGAUUAGAUACCCGUGUAGUC